GACGAACCGUGCGAACGUUGUUCGGAUUCACUGGGCUUAAAGGGCGCGUAGGCGGGCUCGCCAGUCUGUGGUGAAAGCCCCCGGCUUAACCGGGAAGUGCCGUGGAUACUGCGAGUCUUGAGGAGGUAGGGCAUCUGGAACGCUGGGUGGAGCGGUGAAUGCGUAGAUAUCGCUUGGAACGCCGAAGGUGAAACAGACUGCUGGGUUGCGCCGACGCUGAGACACGAAAGCCAGGGAGCAAACGGG
RNAcentral lists this ribosomal RNA (246 nucleotides) under uncultured bacterium. RNAcentral describes it as "partial 16S ribosomal RNA". It matches the Rfam family "Bacterial small subunit ribosomal RNA", at positions 524 to 776 of the family's 1533-position model. The record is from RNAcentral.